GGGCAGGUUAGGGCAGUACAGGGUAGGUUGGGGUAGUACAGUACAGGGCAGGUUAGGGUAGUACAGUACAGGGAAGGUUAGGGCAGUACAGGUCAGGUUAGGGCAGUACAGGGCAGGUUAGGGCAGUACAGGGCAGGUUAGGGCAGUACAGGUCAGGUUAGGGCAGUACAGGGCAGGUUAGGGCAGUACAGGUCAGGUUAGGGCAGUACAGGGCAGGUUAGGGCAGUACAGGUCAGGUUAGGGCAGUACAGGGCAGGUUAGGGCAGUACAGGUCAGGUUAGGGCAGUACAGGGCAGGUUAGGGUAGUACAGGGCAGGUUAGGGCAGUACAGUACAGGUCAGGCCAGGGCAGGUCAGGUCAGGGCAGUACAGGGCAGGUCAGGUCAGGGCAGUACAGGGCAGGUCAGAGCAGUACAGGGCAGGUCAGGUCAGGUCAGGGCAGUACAGGGCAGUACAGGGCAGGGCAGUACAGGGCAGGUCAGGUCAGGGCAGGUCAGGGCAGUACAGGGCAGGGCAGGUUAGGGCAGUACAGGGCAGGUCAGGUCAGGGCAGGUCAGGGCAGUACAGGGCAGGGCAGGGCAGUACAGGGCAUGUUAGGUCAGGGCAGUACAGGUCAGGGCAGGUCAGGGCAGUACAGGGCAUGUCAGGGCAGUACAGGGCAGGGCAGGG
Oncorhynchus tshawytscha (Chinook salmon) is the source of this 668-nucleotide long non-coding RNA. The record is from Ensembl. NCBI's taxonomy places the organism in Eukaryota, Metazoa, Chordata, Actinopteri, Salmoniformes, Salmonidae.